UAGGGUUAGGCUUAAGGAUAGGAUGGGGGCUUGGGGUGUGUGUGUGUGGUGUGUGGUGUGUGUGUGUGUGUGU
Non-coding RNA from Pangasianodon gigas (Mekong giant catfish), 73 nucleotides. NCBI's taxonomy places the organism in Eukaryota, Metazoa, Chordata, Actinopteri, Siluriformes, Pangasiidae. The record is from the annotation of a GenBank genome assembly.